UACGUAGGGGGCAAGCGUUGUCCGGAUUUAUUGGGCGUAAAGAGCGUGUAGGCGGCCAGACAGGUCAGCUGUGAAAACUCGAGGCUCAACCUCGAGACGUCGGUUGAAACCGUCUGGCUAGAGUCCGGAAGAGGAGAGUGGAAUUCCUGGUGUAGCGGUGAAAUGCGCAGAUAUCUGGAGGAACACCGGUGGCGAAGGCGGCAUCCUGGACCAUGACUGACGCUGAGGAGCGAAAGCCAGGGGAGCAAACGGG
This 253-nucleotide ribosomal RNA is filed under the name uncultured bacterium. RNAcentral describes it as "partial 16S ribosomal RNA". It matches the Rfam family "Bacterial small subunit ribosomal RNA", at positions 524 to 776 of the family's 1533-position model. The record is from RNAcentral.